UAUGAGAGUUUGAUCCUGGCUCAGGAUGAACGCUGGCGGUGUGCCUAAUACAUGCAAGUCGAACGCGUUGGCCCAAUUGAUUGAUGGUGCUUGCACCUGAUUGAUUUUGGUCGCCAACGAGUGGCGGACGGGUGAGUAACACGUAGGUAACCUGCCCAGAAGCGGGGGACAACAUUUGGAAACAGAUGCUAAUACCGCAUAACAGCGUUGUUCGCAUGAACAACGCUUAAAAGAUGGCUUCUCGCUAUCACUUCUGGAUGGACCUGCGGUGCAUUAGCUUGUUGGUGGGGUAAUGGCCUACCAAGGCGAUGAUGCAUAGCCGAGUUGAGAGACUGAUCGGCCACAAUGGGACUGAGACACGGCCCAUACUCCUACGGGAGGCAGCAGUAGGGAAUCUUCCACAAUGGGCGCAAGCCUGAUGGAGCAACACCGCGUGAGUGAAGAAGGGUUUCGGCUCGUAAAGCUCUGUUGUUAAAGAAGAACACGUAUGAGAGUAACUGUUCAUACGUUGACGGUAUUUAACCAGAAAGUCACGGCUAACUACGUGCCAGCAGCCGCGGUAAUACGUAGGUGGCAAGCGUUAUCCGGAUUUAUUGGGCGUAAAGAGAGUGCAGGCGGUUUUCUAAGUCUGAUGUGAAAGCCUUCGGCUUAACCGGAGAAGUGCAUCGGAAACUGGAUAACUUGAGUGCAGAAGAGGGUAGUGGAACUCCAUGUGUAGCGGUGGAAUGCGUAGAUAUAUGGAAGAACACCAGUGGCGAAGGCGGCUACCUGGUCUGCAACUGACGCUGAGACUCGAAAGCAUGGGUAGCGAACAGGAUUAGAUACCCUGGUAGUCCAUGCCGUAAACGAUGAGUGCUAGGUGUUGGAGGGUUUCCGCCCUUCAGUGCCGGAGCUAACGCAUUAAGCACUCCGCCUGGGGAGUACGACCGCAAGGUUGAAACUCAAAGGAAUUGACGGGGGCCCGCACAAGCGGUGGAGCAUGUGGUUUAAUUCGAAGCUACGCGAAGAACCUUACCAGGUCUUGACAUCUUGCGCCAACCCUAGAGAUAGGGCGUUUCCUUCGGGAACGCAAUGACAGGUGGUGCAUGGUCGUCGUCAGCUCGUGUCGUGAGAUGUUGGGUUAAGUCCCGCAACGAGCGCAACCCUUGUUACUAGUUGCCAGCAUUAAGUUGGGCACUCUAGUGAGACUGCCGGUGACAAACCGGAGGAAGGUGGGGACGACGUCAGAUCAUCAUGCCCCUUAUGACCUGGGCUACACACGUGCUACAAUGGACGGUACAACGAGUCGCGAACUCGCGAGGGCAAGCAAAUCUCUUAAAACCGUUCUCAGUUCGGACUGCAGGCUGCAACUCGCCUGCACGAAGUCGGAAUCGCUAGUAAUCGCGGAUCAGCAUGCCGCGGUGAAUACGUUCCCGGGCCUUGUACACACCGCCCGUCACACCAUGAGAGUUUGUAACACCCAAAGUCGGUGGGGUAACCUUUUAGGAGCCAGCCGCCUAAGGUGGGACAGAUGAUUAGGGUGAAGUCGUAACAAGGUAGCCGUAGGAGAACCUGCGGCUGGAUCACCUCCUU
Molecule: ribosomal RNA, 1572 nt
Filed under: Limosilactobacillus fermentum
Lineage: Bacteria; Bacillati; Bacillota; Bacilli; Lactobacillales; Lactobacillaceae
Description: bacterial SSU rRNA
Rfam family: Bacterial small subunit ribosomal RNA
Source: RNAcentral